Molecule: non-coding RNA, 85 nt
Organism: Triticum aestivum (bread wheat)
Lineage: Eukaryota; Viridiplantae; Streptophyta; Magnoliopsida; Poales; Poaceae
Source: Rfam
CCGACCUUAGCUCAGUUGGUAGAGCGGAGGACUGUAGUGUUGCAGAAAAAUCCUUAGGUCGCUGGUUCGAAUCCGGCAGGUCGGA